UACGGAGGGUGCGAGCGUUGUCCGGAAUCACUGGGCGUAAAGGGCGCGUAGGUGGCAAGGACAGUCAACGGUGAAAGCUUGGGGCUCAACCCCGAGUCGGCCGUCGAUACUUCUUUGCUGGAGCACUGUAGAGGCAGAUGGAAUUCCGGGUGUAGCGGUGGAAUGCGUAGAGAUCCGGAAGAAUAUCCGUGGCGAAGGCGGCUCUCUGGUACGGCACUGACGCUGAGACGCGAAAGCGUGGGGAGCGAACAGG
This 253-nucleotide ribosomal RNA is filed under the name uncultured bacterium. RNAcentral describes it as "partial 16S ribosomal RNA". It matches the Rfam family "Bacterial small subunit ribosomal RNA", at positions 524 to 776 of the family's 1533-position model. The record is from RNAcentral.